AUUGAACGCUGGCGGCAUGCCUUACACAUGCAAGUCGAACGGCAGCACGGGAGCAAUCCUGGUGGCGAGUGGCGAACGGGUGAGUAAUAUAUCGGAACGUGCCCAGUGAUGGGGGAUAGCCCGGCGAAAGCCGGAUUAAUACCGCAUACGACCUACGGGUGAAAGCAGGGGAUCGCAAGACCUUGCGUCAUUGGAGCGGCCGAUAUCAGAUUAGCUGUUGGUGGGGUAAAAGCCUACCAAGGCGACGAUCUGUAGCUGGUCUGAGAGGACGACCAGCCACACUGGGACUGAGACACGGCCCAGACUCCUACGGGAGGCAGCAGUGGGGAAUUUUGGACAAUGGGCGCAAGCCUGAUCCAGCCAUGCCGCGUGC
This 373-nucleotide ribosomal RNA is filed under the name uncultured bacterium. Its description in RNAcentral is "bacterial SSU rRNA". It matches the Rfam family "Bacterial small subunit ribosomal RNA", at positions 30 to 404 of the family's 1533-position model. The record is from RNAcentral.